Molecule: ribosomal RNA, 452 nt
Filed under: uncultured organism
Description: partial 16S ribosomal RNA
Rfam family: Bacterial small subunit ribosomal RNA
Source: RNAcentral
GUACACUCCUACGGGAGGCAGCAGUGGGGAAUAUUGGACAAUGGGCGCAAGCCUGAUCCAGCCAUGCCGCGUGAGUGAUGAAGGCCCUAGGGUUGUAAAGCUCUUUCACCGGUGAAGAUAAUGACGGUAACCGGAGAAGAAGCCCCGGCUAACUUCGUGCCAGCAGCCGCGGUAAUACGAAGGGGGCUAGCGUUGUUCGGAUUUACUGGGCGUAAAGCGCACGUAGGCGGACUAUUAAGUCAGGGGUGAAAUCCCGGGGCUCAACCCCGGAACUGCCUUUGAUACUGGUAGUCUUGAGUUCGAGAGAGGUGAGUGGAAUUCCGAGUGUAGAGGUGAAAUUCGUAGAUAUUCGGAGGAACACCAGUGGCGAAGGCGGCUCACUGGCUCGAUACUGACGCUGAGGUGCGAAAGCGUGGGGAGCAAACAGGAUUAGAUACCCGGGUAGUCCCAUG